RNAcentral lists this unclassified non-coding RNA (172 nucleotides) under uncultured fungus. RNAcentral describes it as "sequence contains ITS1, 5.8S rRNA gene". The record is from RNAcentral. Lineage: Eukaryota; Fungi.
UAUCCGUAGGGUAAGUGAUAUCUGAUUUUACGAGUAUUUAUUACCAAAUUUUUUACUAACUUGUCUCUAGUGAACCUGCGGAUGGAUCAUUACCGAGUGAAUCGCAAGAUUCAACUCCCACUCUUGUUUAAGCGGAGACGCUAUCUAACUGGCUCUAAUUGGAGCAAUUUUA